AUGCAAGAUUAUUUUUCGGAGAACCCUACAUAUCCUGCACACCUCUUCCGCAGAAGGUAUCGAAUGCGCCGAUUCCUUUUUGUGAAAAUUGUUGAAACUUGCGAGGCAAAUUGCCGGUAUUUCACUCAGAGAAGGAAUGCCGUGGGCUUAAAGGGUUUUAGUGCAUAUCAAAAAAUCUCCGCAGCUAUGCGAGUGAUUGCAUACGGAGAUUGA
RNAcentral lists this ribosomal RNA (213 nucleotides) under Triticum aestivum (bread wheat). RNAcentral's name for it is "partial small subunit ribosomal RNA". The record is from RNAcentral. Lineage: Eukaryota; Viridiplantae; Streptophyta; Magnoliopsida; Poales; Poaceae.